This 429-nucleotide ribosomal RNA is filed under the name Chloroflexota bacterium. Its description in RNAcentral is "Chloroflexi bacterium partial 16S ribosomal RNA". It matches the Rfam family "Bacterial small subunit ribosomal RNA", at positions 355 to 776 of the family's 1533-position model. Lineage: Bacteria; Bacillati; Chloroflexota. The record is from RNAcentral.
UGGGGAAUAUUGCACAAUGGGCGCAAGCCUGAUGCAGCCAUGCCGCGUGUAUGAAGAAGGCCUUCGGGUUGUAAAGUACUUUCAGCGGGGAGGAAGGGAGUAAAGUUAAUACCUUUGCUCAUUGACGUUACCCGCAGAAGAAGCACCGGCUAACUCCGUGCCAGCAGCCGCGGUAAUACGGAGGGUGCAAGCGUUAAUCGGAAUUACUGGGCGUAAAGCGCACGCAGGCGGUUUGUUAAGUCAGAUGUGAAAUCCCCGGGCUCAACCUGGGAACUGCAUCUGAUACUGGCAAGCUUGAGUCUCGUAGAGAGGGGUAGAAUUCCAGGUGUAGCGGUGAAAUGCGUAGAGAUCUGGAGGAAUACCGGUGGCGAAGGCGGCCCCCUGGACGAAGACUGACGCUCAAGUGCGAAAGCGUAGGGAGCAAACAGG